Oenanthe melanoleuca is the source of this 224-nucleotide long non-coding RNA. RefSeq lists it as uncharacterized. NCBI's taxonomy places the organism in Eukaryota, Metazoa, Chordata, Aves, Passeriformes, Muscicapidae. The transcript is spliced from 3 exons. The record is from RefSeq and is a predicted model, not a curated record.
GGACAUGGAACUGGUGGGAUUGCACCGUGGCCUGGGCCCCUCCUCUCCUGGCAGUGCUCACCCACAGCACAGGUUCCCUGGUCCAGGCAGCGCUGACUCAGCAGCCACAUGAGUUGUCGGCCAAGGUGGGAGACACGGUCAAAAUCACCUGCACUGGUAGCAGCAACUAUUAUGGCUGGUACCAGCAGAAGGUCCCUGGCAGUGCCCCUGUCACUGUGAUCUAC